RNAcentral lists this transfer RNA (82 nucleotides) under Perkinsus olseni. It matches the Rfam family "tRNA". Rfam says of the family: Transfer RNA (tRNA) molecules are approximately 80 nucleotides in length. Their secondary structure includes four short double-helical elements and three loops (D, anti-codon, and T loops). Further hydrogen bonds mediate the characteristic L-shaped molecular structure. tRNAs have two regions of fundamental functional importance: the anti-codon, which is responsible for specific mRNA codon recognition, and the 3' end, to which the tRNAs corresponding amino acid is attached (by aminoacyl-tRNA synthetases). tRNAs cope with the degeneracy of the genetic code in two manners: having more than one tRNA (with a specific anti-codon) for a particular amino acid; and 'wobble' base-pairing, i.e. permitting non-standard base-pairing at the 3rd anti-codon position. Lineage: Eukaryota; Perkinsozoa; Perkinsida; Perkinsidae. The record is from Rfam by way of RNAcentral.
GGCAGCGUGUCCGAGUGGUUAAGGAGGUGGACUCCAAAUCCACUAGGCUCAGCUUGCGCAGGUUCGAAUCCGGUCGCUGUCG